GAUGAACGCUGGCGGCGUGCCUAAUACAUGCAAGUCGAGCGAACAGACGAGGAGCUUGCUCCUCUGACGUUAGCGGCGGACGGGUGAGUAACACGUGGAUAACCUACCUAUAAGACUGGGAUAACUUCGGGAAACCGGAGCUAAUACCGGAUAAUAUAUUGAACCGCAUGGUUCAAUAGUGAAAGACGGUUUUGCUGUCACUUAUAGAUGGAUCCACGCCGCAUUAGCUAGUUGGUAAGGUAACGGCUUACCAAGGCAACGAUGCGUAGCCGACCUGAGAGGGUGAUCGGCCACACUGGAACUGAGACACGGUCCAGACUCCUACGGGAGGCAGCAGUAGGGAAUCUUCCGCAAUGGGCGAAAGCCUGACGGAGCAACGCCGCGUGAGUGAUGAAGGUCUUCGGAUCGUAAAACUCUGUUAUUAGGGAAGAACAAAUGUGUAAGUAACUAUGCACGUCUUGACGGGACCUAAUCAGAAAGCCACGGCUAACUACGU
This 496-nucleotide ribosomal RNA is filed under the name uncultured bacterium. Its description in RNAcentral is "partial 16S ribosomal RNA". It matches the Rfam family "Bacterial small subunit ribosomal RNA", at positions 28 to 506 of the family's 1533-position model. The record is from RNAcentral.